ACUCUGUAACUGUUUUAAAGUGAACAUUGGCCUCAUGGUGAAAUCCCUGAGCGGUUUCCUUCCUCUCCGGCAACUGAGUUAGGAAGGACGCCUGUGUCUUUGUAGUGACUCGGUGUAUUGAUACACCAUCCAAAGUGUAAUUACUAACUUCACCAUGCUCAAAGGGAUAUUCAAUGUGUGCUUUUUUAUUUUUACCCAUCUACCAAUAGGUGCCCUUCUUUGCGAGGCAUUGGGAAACCUCCCUGGUCUUUGUGGAUGAAUCUGUGUUUGAAAUUCACUAUUCGAUUGAGGGACCUUAUGUGUGGGGUACAGAAAUGAGGUAGUCAUUAAAAAAUCACAACAUUUCAAUGUAAUCCAUGUUAAAUUCAGGCUGUAACAACAACAUCUCAAUGUAAUCCAUGUUAAAUUCAGGCUGUAACAACAUCUCAAUGUAAUCCAUGUUAAAUUCAGGCUGUAACAACAACAUCUCAAUGUAAUCCAUGUUAAAUUCAGACUGUAACAACAUCUCAAUGUAAUCCAUGUUAAAUUCAGACUGUAACAUCUCAAUGUAAUCCAUGUUAAAUUCAGACUGUAACAUCUCAAUUAUGUAACAUCAUGUAUGUAACAGUAGUAGUAUGUAACAUCCUGUUUGUAACAGUAGUAGUAUGUAACAUCCUGUAUGUAACAGUAGUAGUAUGUAACAUCCUGUUUGUAACAGUAGUAGUAUGUAACAUCACAUCCUGUAUGUAACAGUAGUAGUAUGUAACAUCACAUCCUGUAUGUAACAGUAGUAGUAUGUAACAUCCUGUUUGUAACAGUAGUAGUAUGUAACAUCACAUCCUGCAUGUAACAGUAGUAGUAUGUAACAUUUGAUUUCCCCUGUAUUUAACAGUAAAGGUUUUUGAACACACAACGUGUGUGUUAUUUUUCCUUCUCAGAAGACUGCCUCCCUGUCACGUCCUGACCAGUAUAAGGGGUCAUUUCGUUAUUGUAGUUUGGUCGGGACGUGGCAGCGGUGUGUUUGUUUAGUGUGUUUCGGGGUUUUUUUUGUUCUAUGUUUUCUAUUUCUAUGUGGGUUUUCUAGUUUUUCUAUUUCUAUGUUAGUUUUGGGAACGACCUCCAAUUAGAAGCAGCUGGUUGUUGUUGCUUCUAAUUGGAGGCCAUAUUUAAGUGGGUUAAUUUUCUCUUGUGUUUGUGGGUGGUUGUCUCCGUGUGUAGUUAGUGCACCUUACAGGACUGUUCUCGUCGUUCUUUUGUUCAGUGUUUAUUUUCUUUAAAUAAAUCAAGAAGAUGUUUCAUCUA
RNAcentral lists this long non-coding RNA (1281 nucleotides) under Salmo salar (Atlantic salmon). RNAcentral's name for it is "lncRNA (ENSSSAG00000122100.1)". The record is from RNAcentral. Lineage: Eukaryota; Metazoa; Chordata; Actinopteri; Salmoniformes; Salmonidae.